Non-coding RNA from Otolemur garnettii (small-eared galago), 209 nucleotides. The record is from Rfam. NCBI's taxonomy places the organism in Eukaryota, Metazoa, Chordata, Mammalia, Primates, Galagidae.
AAGACCAUCCUUUCAGGGAUCAUUUCUGUAGCUGGUUACUCGAGAAGCCUCUCUGAAUGGGUAGAGCUCCGGAAACCACGAGGCGGCAGCGCAGCGUUCACACCUGAGCAUAAAGCGGCUCUUGGUGUCGCUUUACUGCAGUUACCAUUUCCCAUUGAUGAUCAUUCUUCUUUUCCUUUGGGGGAGUAAGAGGGAGAAAAUAAAUAAAU